AUUAAAUAUGUAUGAUGUAUCCUACUAUAUUAUUUGGGAAGUACAUUUUAAAUGUAACCUUAAUUUUUGUAAUUAAUUACAUGACAAUGCCAUUAGAAAAAUUUAAUCAAAAACAAAAUCUUUUAAUAACACAUUAAGAUUACCAAAAUCAUUUAACGACAAUAUUCAUCUCUUAAUUAUAGGCUUAUUGGAUUUAAAGACGGGUCAUCAAAGAUUUUCUAACUAAAGCAAAAUAUACUGAAUAUUCAAAUAUCUAUCUAUUACCAAAUUAUAAACAAUUAAGUUCGUAAAACAAUUUAAUAUUUUAUAUACGAAAUAAAGUAAAUCUUAAUCACAUAAAAAUUAGCACAAAAAAAAAUAUGGUACAUUCAGGUCUAUAGUAUUUUUGCAAGACUUUUUUGGUGGAUUUGGGUAAAAGUGCAUUCGGGUCAUAUGGUACAUUCACCUAUUAAAUAAAUAUGGUAUACUCCUAUGUUAUUAGCUAAAAUGUUUAGAUUAUAAUUCAGAGUCAUAUCAUAAAUAAAAUUACUAUUAAUAAAAUAAAUGGCUUUUUGGCAAGACGGAUUUGGAGGGACGGGUUUUUGAAUCAACAUUAAUAAAAAAAGUAAAAUAUAAUUAAUCCACCAUUUCAAUACGGGUUAAAUCUUUAAUUUAUUAUUUUUUAAGACCACUAAUAUUAAACAUAUCAAAUCAUCCUAAUUUAGAAAAAAUUAUAUAAAACCAAAAAUGUUAUGUGGUAUGUAUAAUGUUACUAUAUAUAAACUUAAACUAUAAAAUAUAAAUGUAUUAGAGAAUGAUACAAUUUGCAAAACUUUUAUAUAGAAUAAA
Molecule: small RNA, 828 nt
Filed under: Arabidopsis thaliana (thale cress)
Lineage: Eukaryota; Viridiplantae; Streptophyta; Magnoliopsida; Brassicales; Brassicaceae
Description: ATSL178650
Source: RNAcentral